Molecule: transfer RNA, 58 nt
Filed under: Salmo salar (Atlantic salmon)
Lineage: Eukaryota; Metazoa; Chordata; Actinopteri; Salmoniformes; Salmonidae
Rfam family: tRNA
About the family: Transfer RNA (tRNA) molecules are approximately 80 nucleotides in length. Their secondary structure includes four short double-helical elements and three loops (D, anti-codon, and T loops).
Source: Rfam by way of RNAcentral
UAGCUCAGUUGGUAGAGCGUGACGUUUGUAAUGCCAGGGUUGUGGGUUCGAUACCCAC